CUGUCAUGUGUGUUGAAAAACUAAAUAAAAAUCCGACGCAUGAAUUUAUACAUGAUGAAAAAUUGUCGACUAAGACAGACUAUCUAUGAAAGGACUGACAUUGAGAUAAAAAAAUGUGUAGAAUACUCAAAGAAGAUGAAAGGACUGACAUUGAUAUCAAGAAUGUGUGGAAUACUCAAAGAAGAUGUGUGGCCGGUAAGGGCCUUGACUAGUUGAAGAAUGAAUCCUCCGUUAUCUCUUUGUCCUCGUCUUCCUCUAUGUCUUCACUCGUGUCCUGACAAAUCAAUUUAUCAUGGUGAAUUUUAAUGCUCUAAGAAAAGACUGCCUUGGAGAAAUAUUGUUUCAUUGGACAAAGGUCUCCCGUCAACUAUUUAAGGGAAUACCUCGUUUCUAGUUAGGGAAAAUGUCACAAAUGGUCCCUAUAUUAUUACCUAAUGUGCAAUUUGGUCCCUAAACUUUCGAUUGGCUCAAUUUGGUCCUUAAACUAUUGAUAAAUAUCCGAUUUGGUCCCUGAACUUUCAAUCGGCUCAAUUUAAUCCCUGAACUAUUUGAUAAAUGUCUGAUUUGGUCCAUGAACUUUUGAUCGGCUCAAUUUGGUCCCUAAAUUAUUGAUAAAUAUUCGAUUUAGUCCUUAGUUACUGUUUUUCCUAUUUUAUUUUUUAUUUUUAAUUUUUUAAUAAUUUUUUUAUUUUUUUUUGCUUAUUCUCUCUUCCCUCCGCCGACUCCGGCGGAGGGAAGCCGGCUCCGGCGAGGCUCGCCCUCGCCGGACGCAGGCGAGGGCGGCCCUCGCCGGCGUCGAGCGAGGGGCUCCCUCGCAGAUCUGGCGAGGGAGCCCCUCCCCGGCGUCGGGCGAGGGAGCUCCUCGCCCNNNNNNNNNNNNNNNNNNNNNNNNNNNNNNNNNNNNNNNNNNNNNNNNNNNNNNNNNNNNNNNNNNNNNNNNNNNNNNNNNNNNNNNNNNNNNNNNNNNNCGCCGACGCCGACGAGGGGCUCCCUCGCAGCCCGGCGUCGGGGGAGGGGCUCCCUCGCAGCCUGGCGUCGGGAGAGGGGCUCGCUCUCCAGAUCUGCGAGGGAGCCCCUCGCCCGACGCCGGGAAGGGGCUCCCUCGCUCGACGGCGGCGAGGGUUAAGAUUUAAUGAUUAAAAAAUAAAUAAACCAAAAAUAAAAAAAGGAAAAUCCGUAACUAAGGACUAAAUCGAAUAUUUAUUAAUAAUUCAGGGAUCAAAUUGAGCCGAUCGAAAGUUUAGGGACCAAAUCAGACAUUUAUCAAAUAGUUCAUGGAUCAAAUUGAGCCGAUUGAAAGUUCAGGGACCAAAUCGGAUAUUUAUCAAUAGUUCAAAGACCAAAUUGAGCCGAUUGAAAGUUCAGGGACCAAAUUGCACAUUAGGUAAUAGUAUAGAGACUAUUUGUGACAUUUUCCCUUCUAGUUAAAACAUCAAGUAGGAUCAAAGAUAGUAGCGGACAGGGUAAGAUCACUCACUUUCUUUCCCCAAUCCCUUGCUCGAAAGAAGGCUCCUCACCAAAAGCCAUUCCUAUGGUCAAAAGUGGAAAAUUUUUGUUUGGAUUUAAUCUCUUUGGAAAGUGGGUUUUAUGAGAAAAUUGAAUGGCGAAAUUAAAGAAAAUGAUGAGAUAAAUUUCUUUGGUCAUAAAUUGUUACGGAGAAGGAAGCAACACCCAUUAUAAAUCAAAUUACUCUAAACUAAUCUUUUGUUACGAGGAAUUCAUGAGAAAACUAGGUCAGGUAAUAAAUGGCCUUGCAAGAAAAAUGGGAAAGAUAGGAUCUCAUAGGUUGUUAGGGAGAAAAGAGCAACACCUAUUUAUAAAUCAAAUUAUUCUAAACUAGUCUUCUAUUACGAGGAAUUCAAAAGAAAAUAAGGUCAGAUAAUAAAUGGCCUUGCAAGAAAAAUGAUAAAAGAUAGGAUCUUUCCUAUCAAAAAGGAGAAUUCUCGGGGUCUUGCAUGAAUUACUUGUGUAGAGAAAACACUGUGAGGGACAUGUCUGGUGCACUUGAUUUAUGUACAGUGAACCAUAAAGGACUUUGAAGGAAAAUCCAAGAAUCCAUUAAUAGUCCAACAGCUGACGACCAUUUUAAGGGAUAGAGAUAUAGCUCAUGGGGCAAUUUUAUGGGAUUUCCUUCCUACUUAUCACCACUUCAUAGGGAACCAAUGAAAGGUGAUGAAAGCCAAUCGUACCAUAGAAUAAAUUAUUAUUUUUGAAUAAUAGAAAAAUAGGGGCUUUGUUAUAAUUAAAUAAUGAAAUUAGCGUGUGCAUGUAAAUCGCACGAUUUUAGCACGCAAGUUUAAUAAAUUUUUAUCUUUUUUAGUGAAUGAGAAUUUUUAUCACACAAUGAAAGAUGAUAAAACUAGUAGUAACAUAGAAGAAAUUAUGAUUUAUUAAGUUAUAAAAACAAUAGGGGUUUUGUUAUAAUUAAGCAAUGAUAUUAGCGCGCGCACGUCAAUUGCACGGUUUUAGCACGCAAGUUUAAUAAAUUUUUAUUUAUUUUUCAGUUAAAUGGUGUUCUUUAAUGUUUCAAAUGUCAAUUUCUCGCACACAUGAAAGCGUGUCCACAUUUUACCGGGGUAGAUUAAAUUUUUCUAGCAUCUCCUGUUAUGAGUGAUUUAAAGAUAAGCCUUGCUCAGAUAUUAAAUGGCCUUGCGAGAAAAAAGAGAAGAUAUUCUCUUUCUUACAGAAAAAGACAAGUCCCCAAAUCCUGCAUGAAUGACUUGUGUAGGAAAAACACUGAGAGGGAAGACCGUGGUGCAGAUGUACAGCACAACAGGUCGUUGAAACAAAGCCCAUGAAUCAAUUAUUCAUUAAAUAAUCAAUUACCUCCUUAUAUUAAGAGGAAGAGGUAUAACUCAUGGGCAGUUCGCAGGAUCUCCUUCCUAUUUAUUACCACUUCAUAGGAAACCUAACCUCCCAUAUAUGAAGGCAUUGACACUUGUUUGGCAUCCUCAUCAAAGCCUCAUCCAUCCCCCUCUCUUUCCAUUUGUAUAAAAUGGGAAGAAAGUGGUGACAAGUGAAGUGAAUACUAGAAAGGGUUCUCUCGUGUCUUGGGUCUCUCUGCCUUCCUCGCAUAAGAAAAAGGCAGAGAGCGUUUGUACAUAGAAGACUCCAUCUUCAGCUUCAGCUUCAGCUUCGACCUCAUUAUCUCAUAGGCAAGAGAGAGAUGGGAAAGGGACGAGCACCAUGUUGCGACAAGAACAAAGUGAAGAGAGGUCCAUGGAGUCCAGCCGAGGACGCGAGGCUCAUCUCUUUCAUCCAGAAGUAUGGCCAUGAAAACUGGCGUGCUCUUCCUAAACAAGCAGGUUGACUCUCUCUCUCCUCUCUCCUCUCUCUCUCUCACUAAGCAACAUAAUAAUUUGUCUUUGUUUUUAUGUUAAUGAUGGAUUUUGCCGAGAAUAGCUUCCCAGUUUCAAAUCAUUGCUCAGCCACAAUGAUGUAAUCAAAUUCUGAGUUUUUUCGAUUAAUUAGAUUUCCAUUUAUUGAAGUUUUUUUUUCCAUAACAAUACAAGGUCUCUUUAAUUUCGGGAUAUUAUCUAAAGAAAUUAUCAUUUUGGGUGUUACUAGUCUCAUUAAAACAGCCUGAGUCUAUAACCAGCUGUAGGAUUGAACAUUUGAAGUUUCGCAUGAUCAGCGUGUCACCCGAGGAAGGCUGGUUUGAGACGCAUCUGCCAACUUAAGGUUUCAUCUUUGUGGGUCCAUCUUUUACUCUCUUUUUAAAGACUAAUCAACUAUAUACAAACCGUUCAACCAAAAAAAAAUUAGAAAAGAAAAAUGGGGGGUUUUUUUUAUUGGGCCUGAUUCCUCCCAACGCAAGUCUUUGAAAUUUGAUACCCACGUUAUUGAAAUUAAAAAGAAUAAGAAGAAGAAGAGACCUGUUUAUGAGUGUUAUCUAUUGUUGGAGAACCUCAAUCCUCUGGCGCUGCCCUGCAUAUAUGAGAGGAGUUCGAGACUGUACAUGCAGGGGAAGCCAUGCAGUUCUUUUAAGGACCCCUUGCCCCCCGUGCAAUUCGCACCAGUUCUCCAGGCUUCUUCUUCCCAUCAAGAGUCUUCCAGAUUCUUCAGAAAUUUGUGUUGUUAGCUCAGAGUAUAGCAUCUUCUCUUAUCACAAUUCUUUUCUUUGUUUCUUUCUUCUUCUUCUUUUUCCUUUUUUUUAAGGGGUGGUGGGGAGUCUAUUUUUGCUACAUCGGAUGGAAUGGUACUCGCACAUCAGGAUGAGAUUAGCAAAGAUUAUUCAGGAACCG
RNAcentral lists this long non-coding RNA (4244 nucleotides) under Eucalyptus grandis. RNAcentral's name for it is "long non-coding RNA (EGRA_LNC003936)". The record is from RNAcentral. Lineage: Eukaryota; Viridiplantae; Streptophyta; Magnoliopsida; Myrtales; Myrtaceae.